RNAcentral lists this long non-coding RNA (965 nucleotides) under Falco tinnunculus (common kestrel). Its description in RNAcentral is "lncRNA (ENSFTIG00000006638.1)". Lineage: Eukaryota; Metazoa; Chordata; Aves; Falconiformes; Falconidae. The record is from RNAcentral.
AUGGCUUCAUUUUCAUGGGUGACUUUGGUACUGAAGAGUCCUAGAUUGGAGCCCACUGACCUUGACUUGAGAGCCUGGAACCUGUAUGUUGUACAGCUCAGUGUUUCUGCUCUCUCCUUUUGUUGGAGCAAAGGAGCAGAAGACAGGAAUCUGCCUGAGGUUUGGAGAAGCUCCUGGGAAGAAGUGGAUAGCAAAAAGACACUUGAAGCGAAACCUAAAAUCAAACCCCCUCUUCCUGAUCAUUGUAUCAAAGCAAUAGAGGAGAUGGAGAAGCUCACUGUGGAGUGGCAUUUAAGAACAGUCCUGACAUCUGCUGCCCAGUGGAAGAGGAAAGCAAUGGCAGAUUGGGCAGAACAAGAAACUCAGGGGGCAAAGAGUACGUGCAGGACCCAGAUCCAGCGUCCUCACGAGGAAAGCUCAGAGAUGCUCCGUCAGGCAGAGGAAUGGAGCAGAGCCAAACAGACUGGAGAGGAAUGGACUAGUGGACACCGCAGUGGCUGCGGUCUGCACUGUGCUAGAGUUGUGGUUAUGAGCCAGGUCACCCGGCUCGCAGGCGGGGGCUGCGGGGGGCUGCUGGAGCACUGGUGUGCGGCGGGGGGAGCAGUGAGCUCCCGCUCGCUGUUUGGCACCAGCUUGUCCCAUUCUGCCGGCUGAGGUGCUGGCUGAUGAGCCUCGUGCGCUUCAGCAGCUGCUCUAUUUUCUACCUCAUCCAGCUUUUGUUCCAUAUGGGUUUGUGCCGAGAGAUAUCAAAACAGUCUGUACUAUUUCUCUGUGAUUCUUGGUCUGCUUGCUAGAACAGAGUAUUUCUUUGUUGAGGAAUGGAAUAAACCUCUUACUGUGUUUUCCUGCUUCAGGAUGAAUAGUGUUUUAGUGUCUUUUCUCUGCAUCUUUCGGACGGGAGAGCCCAGGAAAGAGAUUAGGCUCUGUCCUGUCUUCAUCAUUCAACAGCCAAAUGCUUCUUCAAG